GCGAGUGGCAAACGGGUGCGUAACACAUUGGUAAUCUACCCCCUGCCGGGGGAUAACUGCCUGAAAGGGUGGCUAAUACCCCAUAGUCUUAUCUGUCUAUGGCAGAUAAGUAAAACUACGGUGGCAAGGGAGGAGCCUAUGGCCUAUCAGCUUGUUGGUAGAGUAAAAGCCUACCAAGGCUGCGACGGGUAGCGGGUGUGAGAGCACGACCCGCCUCACUGGGACUGGGACACUGCCCAGACUCCUACGGGAGGCUGCAGUUAAGAAUCUUCCUCAAUGCACGAAAGUGUGAAGGAGCGACGCCGCGUGAAUGAAGAAGCCCUUCGGGGUGUAAAAUUCUUUUCUUAGGGAAUAACAAAUGACAGUACCUAAGGAAUAAGGGGCUGCUAACUUCGUGCCAGCAGCAGCGGUAAUACGAAGGCCCCGAGCGAUAUCCGGAAUUAUUGGGCGUAAAGCGUCUGUAGACCGCCUGUUAAGUUAAUGGUUAAACCCUAAUGCUCAACAUUAGAACAGCUGUUAAAACUGGCAGGCUAGAGGGUGGGAGAGGUAAGCGGAAUUGCCGGUGUAGUAGUAAAAUGCGUUAAUAUCGGCAGGAACACCAAAUGCGAAGGCAGCUUACUGGAACACUCCUGACGUUGAGAGACGAAAGCGUGGGUAGCGAAAGGGAUUAGAUACCCCUGUAGUCCACGCUGUAAACGCUGGAUGCUAGGCAUUGGCAGUAUCGACCCUGCCAGUGUCGUUUAAUCAAGCUAACGCGUUAAGCAUCCCGCCUGGGGAGUACGGCCGCAAGGCUAAAACUCAAAGGAAUUGACGGGAACCCGCACAAGCGGUGGAGCACGUGGUUUAAUUCGACAGUAAGCGAGGAACCUUACCAAGGCUUGACAUACCAGGAACCCCGUAGAAACACGGGGGUGCCUUCGGGAAUCUGAUUUCAGGUGCUGCAUGGUUGUCGUCAGCUCGUGUCGUGAGAUGUACGGUUAAGUCCGGUAACGAGCGCAACCCCUAUUCUGUGUUAAAUAUUCCACAGAAGACUGCCAUCCUUAAGAUGGAGGAAGGUGGGGAUGACGUCAAAUCAGCAUGGCUCUUACGCCUUGGGCUACACACAUGCUACAAUGGCCGGUACAGAGGGUUGCCAAACCGUAAGGUGGAGCUAAUCCUGCAAAACCGGUCCAAGUUCGGAUUGAGGUCUGAAAUUCGACCUCAUGGAGUCGGAAUCGCUAGUAACCGUGAAUCAGCUAUGUCACGGUGAAUACGUUCUCGGGUUUUGUACACACCGCCCGUCACGUCAAGAGAGUCGGGAAUACCUGAAUGUCGUUGUAUAAUGGCAGAGGGUAGGCUCGAUGAUAGGGACGAAGUCGUAACAAGGCA
This 1368-nucleotide ribosomal RNA is filed under the name metagenome. Its description in RNAcentral is "bacterial SSU rRNA". It matches the Rfam family "Bacterial small subunit ribosomal RNA". The record is from RNAcentral.